This 491-nucleotide ribosomal RNA is filed under the name uncultured bacterium. RNAcentral describes it as "partial 16S ribosomal RNA". It matches the Rfam family "Bacterial small subunit ribosomal RNA", at positions 29 to 507 of the family's 1533-position model. The record is from RNAcentral.
GUGAACGCUGGCGGUAGGCCUAACACAUGCAAGUCGAACGGCAGCACAGUAAGAGCUUGCUCUUACGGGUGGCGAGUGGCGGACGGGUGAGGAAUACAUCGGAAUCUACUUUUUCGUGGGGGAUAACGUAGGGAAACUUACGCUAAUACCGCAUACGACCUACGGGUGAAAGCAGGGGAUCUUCGGACCUUGCGGGAUUGAAUGAGCCGAUGUCGGAUUAGCUAGUUGGCGGGGUAAAGGCCCACCAAGGCGACGAUCCGUAGCUGGUCUGAGAGGAUGAUCAGCCACACUGGAACUGAGACACGGUCCAGACUCCUACGGGAGGCAGCAGUGGGGAAUAUUGGACAAUGGGCGCAAGCCUGAUCCAGCCAUACCGCGUGGGUGAAGAAGGCCUUCGGGUUGUAAAGCCCUUUUGUUGGGAAAGAAAAGCAGCAGGUUAAUACCCCGCUGUUCUGACGGUACCCAAAGAAUAAGCACCGGCUAACUUCGUG